AACACAUGGCAUGAUCACGGAGUGACCGAUGGAAAAAUAUGUGCGGAUUUUUUUUUAAAUAAAAGAACAACAGACAUCUGGGAAUAUGUUACAAAAUAAUUCGUAAACAACAGGUACCGUGGCCAGUAAUUACUAAAUAUAGUAUGGUGACGUAUGCGGAGGCUUGCCAAAGUUUUUGAGUCCCGGGCAACAGGAAAGAUAACUCCAAAAAGGAACUUUGAUACCAAAGAUUUUGAAAAUAUUUUUUCUACAUCAGUGCAUUUAAUUUUAAUUCAAUUUUUUUGAUGUAAUCUAAUUCAUAAA
Saccostrea cuccullata (small rock oyster) is the source of this 303-nucleotide long non-coding RNA. RefSeq lists it as uncharacterized. NCBI's taxonomy places the organism in Eukaryota, Metazoa, Mollusca, Bivalvia, Ostreida, Ostreidae. The transcript is spliced from 2 exons. The record is from RefSeq and is a predicted model, not a curated record.